UACGGAGGGUGCAAGCGUUAUCCGGAUUCACUGGGUUUAAAGGGUGCGUAGGCGGGUAAGUAAGUCAGUGGUGAAAUCUCCGGGCUUAACUCGGAAACUGCCGUUGAUACUAUUUAUCUUGAAUAUCAUGGAGGUAAGCGGAAUAUGUCAUGUAGCGGUGAAAUGCUUAGAUAUGACAUAGAACACCGAUAGCGAAGGCAGCUUACUACAUGUUAAUUGACGCUGAGGCACGAAAGCGUGGGGAGUAAACAGG
Molecule: ribosomal RNA, 253 nt
Filed under: uncultured bacterium
Lineage: Bacteria
Description: partial 16S ribosomal RNA
Rfam family: Bacterial small subunit ribosomal RNA
Source: RNAcentral